Molecule: non-coding RNA, 4649 nt
Organism: Peromyscus maniculatus bairdii (prairie deer mouse)
Lineage: Eukaryota; Metazoa; Chordata; Mammalia; Rodentia; Cricetidae
Source: RefSeq, a predicted model, not a curated record
UCCCCACCGCCGCAGUUCACUGCCCUCCCCGGUCAGCGGCAGGGGUCAGGCCUCCGGAACCUGCACUUCUCAUUCCUGUGUUCACUCCCCGGCUCUGUGGAAGCUGGCACAGCAGGGCGAGGGUGUGGAUGCUCUGUAGCCUUUCUCUGCUACUCCAGGAUUGCUCCCAGGCCUCAGACAUCUCCAGGUGACAGCCUGGCGCCUACCUGCGCUCUCUGCGCCCCAUGAUGGCUGUCAGAGAACGCCUGCGUUAAUUAGAUCUCCGAUUAAAUGGCACAUUAAGUAAUUAUCCUGGGGUAGAUCCCAAAUGGAGUCUAUUUAAAGUGGGUGCCUGAACUUGUGAAUGAAAACAGGAGUGAGUCACGCUCUGCUACACCACGCAGAACCCAAAAGGCAAGAGAGACGCCAACAGGAGUAACUGCUGGCGGCCCCCACUUGCCUCUCGCCCAGCUGGCCAAGCUCUACAAUGCUCCCCGUGCCCUCAGCCUGAAAACCGGUGUCCAGACUGCCUCUAGCUGGGAAGUGGUGCAUCACUGUCCCUCAACUUCAUGCCAGGAGGAGUGAUCCCAUGAACAACACUCAUAGCCUUCACCGGGAGUGACUGGAAGCGAUGUGCUGUUGUUAGGAAAACAGAAAGAGUGAUUAUAGCCAGAGGUGCGGUUCCACCCAACACUGACGAGAAACAGAGACUCAUGGAUGCGUAGACGUGACUCCAUCCAUCUGACCUUUAAUCAAGGUCAUCAGCACGGGUGAAGUCUCAUCCAGAUGGGGAAGUUGAGGAAGCAGGAGCCUGAGGCCUCUGGCACAUCACGUCCACAUCAGGAUGCAGGGAGAGAUGAACGCUGGUGCUCUGUUUGCCUUCUCCUCUCAUUCAGUCCAGGACCCCAACCAUGGAAGGGUACUGUGCAUGUUCAAUUAAACCUUUAGAAGUCUCCUCAUAGACAGGUCCAGAGGUGUGGCUCUUACAUGGCCAUGAGGAUUAUGUCAUAGUGGACAAAGCAAAAGAAAGAGAAAGGGAGACUGGGCAUUCUCUUCCUAGUUCCAUGUACCCCCUGUUUUCAUCUCUUAUUUCAGGCCUUGGGGCUCCUGUCUCCCAGAAGCCACCUGGGACUCUCUAGCCCUUCUAGAUCAACAAUCCCUUAGGUAUAUGACAUUCCUGGUUUUGCUUUAUUGUUAACACAGCCUUUUCUUCCUCCUUUCUCCCUCUCCUGAGUUUGACAAGUUGAGCGGCUGUUUCCAGCUGUUUUCUUGCUCUGUUACAGCCCCACACCUUCCAUUACCUUUAGGUCAGCAAGUGGUCCCUUGUCCAUGCCUUUGCAAUGACCCUCUCCCGAGCCUGCUCCAUACUCCCUCUCAUUGCCCAGGCAGACAUCACCAAUCAAUCACAUUGUUUUCUCCAAGCUAGAUCAGGCUCCACAGGAGGCUUCCUUCUAUCCAGCCACAAGAUCACAGGGGAGAAACAGAUAAAUCUACCUCACACUUCUCAUCUGUCCUUGCAUUCUAGAUCUGAUCUCUCAUAAACCUCAAGUAUGUAGGAGCCCAAAUCCUAGUCUGUUCAACCAUCCAAAUAAUAAAACUAAGAUCCUCACCCCAUGAACCCCUACUUAGCUUAAAUGUUGACAUUCCAAAGCAUAUUCCACAUAGGCUCCCCAAAGUGAACCUGGCUCCAAGGUGGCUUUGCCAGGGAUGGUCAGACCACAGUAGUUCAGGUCUCUGGGGUCUGAGUGUUGAAAUACAGGAAAACUUGACUUCCCAUUCAAAGCAGCCAGAGCUCUGGGUAACCCUUCUCUCCCCACUCAUGAACUAAUCUCUGUCUUUUCUUAUUAAGUACCUUGCAGAGCUGCUUCUGGCUUCCUUCUAUUCCCCCUCCAGGGUUAAGUUUGCAGGUCCCUAAUUCAAAAUGCUCAGACUCAGCUAUCUCAGAUCAGAAUCUUUGAAGCUUUGUAUCCACCUAAUGGGACAUCCUGGGGCUAAGACCUGAGUCUAAAUACAAAUUUCACUCCCCCCACCCUGCACAUACCUUACCCAUGGAGCUGGGAGGUGAUUUCUACAGUUUUGAGUGCACCAGUCGCAGGAAGUCAGGUGUGGAAUUUUCUGUUUGUAACAUCCUGUAGACAGGCAGUGAGUGUCAGGCUCUGGGACUUCAGGUUUUCAAUGGCACACUCCAUCUCUGAGUGUGUACUCUCUCCAGCUACACACUAGGAAGCAUGUGUCUGGACAUUCUGUGAGAAUGUUUCCAGGGAGGUUUUUGCUGAGGCAGGAAGACCCACAUGCAUGUGAUUGGCAUGACCCUUGAGUGGUAGUCUUGAAUAAAAAGGGGGAAAUGGGCCUAGGAGACGGCUCAGUUGGUAAAGUGCUGGCUGAACACCCGUGAGGAGCUGAGUUAGAUUACCCAGAAGCCAUGUAAAAAAAAUCCAGGUGUGAUAGCACGGGCCUGUGAUCUCAGUGAUAGGAGGACUCCUGGGUCUUGGCAGCCUCGGCAAUACAGGUUCAGUGGGAAACCAUCUCAAAAAGUAGAGUGAUUGAGGAAGACACCUAAUAUUAAUCUCUUGUCUACACACACACACACACACACACACACACACACACACACACACACACACACACACACACAUACACACGCACAUACACACACACAUGCACAUUUGCAUGCACUGGAAAGGGAAAGACAGCCACUUUUGCCUGCAUUCUUGGUCUCUGCUUCCUGCUCUCCUGAGUUCUGGGGGUCCCCAGACACAUUCCCAUGCCCUGCGUUCUGCCAUUUCUUUCCCUCUGUGGAGGGCUGUACCCUCACAAACCACAAAACAAAACUGACCCUGCCUUCCCUAUCCUGGUUCUAUCGGGUACUGAUACAAGAAGCCUGCAUUUCUUUGUGUGUGGCACGCGACUUGAGUCCAUGGCCCUGGGUGCCAGCUAAGCACCAUGCCCCUUGGCCCGCCUUGUGUUUUCUUUACUCUCAAGUAAACAGAACCACCAGUCUGUGUCUUUCUGAGUCUUUGAAAGUUCUCAGCACCAAGUGGUGUUUGUUUGUUUUAAACUGUGAAUUCGAUUUCUCAGCUGACAUGGAGCUGUUGAAUUCUACUUUCUUUUAAAUUGAUUUUGCACUGAUUGUCUUGCAAUGAACUUGUACAUUUCAUCUAAUUUGUAAAUUUAUUGACAGAAAGGUGUUAUCCUUUCAUUGAUAUCCCUUCAGUGUCUACUGCACCUGUGAGACAUGUCUUCUCACUUUAAGGCCAGUCAUCUACCUGUCUCCUUUCGCUUUUAUUUACCCUCUGUGUGUGUGUGUGUGUGUGUGUGUGUGUGUGUGUGUGUGUGCACUUGCAUACAGAUAUAUAUAUAUAUACAUGUGUGUGCACGUGUCUGUAAACCCAAAGGAUGGUAUGGAUGUCUUCCUCGGUUGCUUUCCACCUUAUUUUUUGAGACAGGGUCUCUCAUUGGUGCCUGGGGUUAGACUGCCUGGCCACUGAACCCUGGGGAUCCUCCUUUUUUUGUCUCCCCAGUAUUGAAAUUACAUGCACAUGUGGCCAAGCCUGGCUUUUCCCAUGGGUGCUGGGAGUGGCACUCAUGUCCCCAGGCUUGUGUGCCAAGCUCAUUGAACCACCUCCCAGCCACGUCUCUUUUUCCUGAGUGUCUUGCUAAAGGUUUACCAAUGUUAUUGUGGCUUCGGGAAGUUGACCCUUUCCUUUCCUUCUGCUGCUCAGGUGUCCACCCAUCUAUUUAUUGCUUUGUAUUUAACUUUUCUCACUGUGGUAAAAUACACACAAGGUGAACACCACAGCAUAAGCUGUGUUUAAGUACAAUUCAGUCUCUACACUGCUGUACCUCUGUCAUCGGCCGUUUCCAGAAGGUUCUCAUCUUCCACAGCUGGAACUCUGCACCAAGGAGAUGGUUUCUACAUAGGGAGCAACCUUUGCCUCUGACUCCAUGAGACUGACUGAGUUUAUGGCCGAGUGCUUUUAUGACAGCUGACUUCACUAUGCGGUCUUCAAGGCUCAUUCAGGAGACAGCUUCAUGAAACUAUUACCAUGCCUGAACAUGGAAUUUGGGGCAACUGGAUCUGUGUUCCCGGGCCACAGUCACUCAUAUUUGGCUUGAGAAUAAACUACUUUUAUCACCAUCUGAAGCAGCAGCUGUGUUUCUAAUGGCAUCGGGAUAGUGUAAGAUGUUGUGAUGUGUUUGCUUUUUCCCCAGCAUAAUCUGAUCAUCCCAUCACCAUCUUAGACUAGAAAUAACCUUGGCCAAUAGUAAUGCCAGAGCAGAACCACACAGUGGCAACAAGUCUGUGGUCCAUGGUGACGGCCAUGGGAAUAUUAAUACUCCAUUGUGGAUGGAGUUGGGAGGAGGCCCCUGGGACCCUCAUCUGGGAUUCUGGCCAUCACUAAUUCUUGCCACACCCCCAGCUGCACGUGCCCCAGGAGAUGAUGGAGAAUAGGAAGUAGAUAGAAGGUUACCUGAAGGUUGAGCUCAAAGGAUGAAGCCACUGUGUGUAGUUGCCUGUGCUGGGAUUGGCCUUUCGAUCACACAGCUGCCUAUCAUUUCCUGUAGAGAGGAGAACAAACAUCCACCCUCCCCCUCAUUGGGCACUGAGAACAGACGCAAGCAAGGCAAGGAUCCCACCCACCCACAUCCAGCGGGGUGAGACAGUAAGU